GAUGAACGCUGGCGGCGCGCCUAACACAUGCAAGUCGAACGGUUAAAGCAUCUUCGGAUGUGUAUAAAGUGGCGAACGGCUGAGUAACACGUGGGCAACCUGCCCUUUGCACUGGGAUAGCCUCGGGAAACCGAGGUUAAUACCGGAUACUCCAUAUUUGUCGCAUGGCGAAUAUGGGAAAGCUCCGGCGGCAAAGGAUGGGCCCGCGGCCUGUUAGCUAGUUGGUGGGGUAGUGGCCUACCAAGGCAAUGAUGGGUAGCCGGGUUGAGAGACCGACCGGCCAGAUUGGGACUGAGACACGGCCCAGACUCCUACGGGAGGCAGCAGUGGGGAAUCUUGCACAAUGGGCGAAAGCCUGAUGCAGCGACGCCGCGUGCGGGAUGAAGGCCUUCGGGUUGUAAACCGCUUUCAGCAGGGACGAGGCCGCAAGGUGACGGUACCUGCAGAAGAAGCCCCGGCUAACUACGCGCCAGCAGCCGCGGUAAUACGUAGGGGGCAAGCGUUAUCCGGAUUCAUUGGGCGUAAAGCGCGCGUAGGCGGUCUGUUAGGUCAGGAGUUAAAUCUGGGGGCUCAACCCCUAUCCGCUCCUGAUACCGGCAGGCUUGAGUCUGGUAGGGGAAGAUGGAAUUCCAAGUGUAGCGGUGAAAUGCGCAGAUAUUUGGAAGAACACCGGUGGCGAAGGCGGUCUUCUGGGCCAUGACUGACGCUGAGGCGCGAAAGCUAGGGGAGCAAACAGG
This 737-nucleotide ribosomal RNA is filed under the name uncultured Coriobacteriaceae bacterium. RNAcentral describes it as "bacterial SSU rRNA". It matches the Rfam family "Bacterial small subunit ribosomal RNA", at positions 28 to 776 of the family's 1533-position model. The record is from RNAcentral. Lineage: Bacteria; Bacillati; Actinomycetota; Coriobacteriia; Coriobacteriales; Coriobacteriaceae.